RNAcentral lists this ribosomal RNA (253 nucleotides) under uncultured bacterium. RNAcentral's name for it is "partial 16S ribosomal RNA". It matches the Rfam family "Bacterial small subunit ribosomal RNA", at positions 524 to 776 of the family's 1533-position model. The record is from RNAcentral.
UACGUAGGGGGCAAGCGUUGUUCGGAAUUACUGGGCGUAAAGCGCGCGUAGGCGGUCUGAAAAGUCAGAUGUGAAAGCCCCGGGCUCAACUUGGGAACUGCAUUUGAUACUGUCAGACUAGAGUACAGAAGAGGUGACUGGAAUUCCCAGUGUAGCGGUGAAAUGCGUAGAUAUUCGGAAGAACACCAGUGGCGAAGGCGGCUCACUGGACUGGUAUUGACGCUGAGGUGCGAAAGCGUGGGGAGCAAACAGG